CCGGUAUUUACAUUUCUAACAAAAGUUGCCAAUUUUUUGACUCAAGUAUAGAUAUAAGGUAAUUAGGAAAAGUAGAAACGAGAUCAUUUUGUACUCCGUUUACAUGCAUGGCUCGAAAAUCUUCAUGAUUCUUUAUCGGUUAAAUACAAUCUCUUUGAAACAGUAAUUGCAGGUAAAUAUUUCACAAUUAGAAUACCUUACCAUGGAAAACCCUUUCAUCAGUAGAUUCCUUCGACGCUCAAAACUUUCAUCGAACAUCUGUUUUACAACAUUCGCUAUUAGCUGCCCAUAUAUUAGCUAUCCCGAAUAGAAAAAAAUCAAAACAAAAAUAUAUAUACCUCUGACUGUGAGCAUUUUGGAGAAGAAAAUUGAACACCUUCAUCUGGCUUACUGUCGAAGCCGACUACAGUCGAAUGAAGAAAAAUAGAAAAGGACGUUUGUACAUCGCUUCUCAAGCGUUCGCAUAUAUUGCUAUACGAGCUUGCCGGCGACCCUCUCAAAACAAGUUGUACAUAAUCAUUUAAGGUACAUAGGUAUACAUAUUGAUUCUCUAGAAAGCGAAGAAUCCUGCUUUUGGGGGUAUGGUGUUCGGUCAUGCAAGUUACAAGUAACCAUUAAGCAUAACUAUAUAUAUGCAAAGUGUCCUACUGAUCAUAACGUUUUAAAUAAA
Molecule: non-coding RNA, 670 nt
Organism: Schizosaccharomyces pombe (fission yeast)
Lineage: Eukaryota; Fungi; Ascomycota; Schizosaccharomycetes; Schizosaccharomycetales; Schizosaccharomycetaceae
Source: the annotation of a GenBank genome assembly